This 433-nucleotide ribosomal RNA is filed under the name uncultured bacterium. Its description in RNAcentral is "partial 16S ribosomal RNA". It matches the Rfam family "Bacterial small subunit ribosomal RNA", at positions 29 to 507 of the family's 1533-position model. The record is from RNAcentral.
AACGAACGCUGGCGGCAUGCCUAACACAUGCAAGUCGAACGAAACCUUCCUGUCUAUUUGCGCACGGCUGCGUAACGCCUGGGAACCUGCCCUUAGGUUCCGAGUAACUCCCCGAAAGGUAUGCUAAUACCGUUUAAUGUCUUCGCGCCAAAGAUUUAUCGCCGUGGGAUGGGCCCGCGUUGGAUUAGCGGGUUGGUAGGGUAAUAGCCUACCAAGGGCACGAUGCAUAGCUGGUCUGAGAGGAUGAUAAGCCACAAUGGGAAUGAGACACGGCCUAGUAUGCGACGGAGCGGAGGAGUGGAGAAUAUUAGAGAAUGGGGGAAGACGUGACAAAGCAAUGCGGGGGGAGUGAUGAAGGGGUUAGUGUUGUAAAGCUGUUUUACACGGGAUGAUAAUGACAGUACCGGGAGAAUAAGCUCCGGCUAACUACGUG